AUCCGUGAAACAGCAAAUGUAUUUGCUCUGAAACAGCUUUCGCUGGAAGAAGAGAUUGCUUUUUCUCCCUGUUUAUCGCUCUUCCUCAUCGGAAGAGUGGCCCUUUAAGACCAAGGUUCGCGUUUGUAGUGUGUUCUUUCACUUAAGCUUUUUAAAGGGCAAGAUAGAAGAGCCUCAUCCUUGCCAGGUAUGUUCUGUCUGCAGACCAGAGUUCUGAACACUGCCAGCUGAUUCCCUAGCCAGUGGCUUUGGGAGAACGGAUUUUUUUUUUCCUUCUUUCUCCCUGUUCUCUUCAUGUCCCCUGACCUAUUUUCCUAGAACACAACUCUAGUCUCCCCUUUUCCUUCCUACUGCAAACCUAUUGUGUGAGUUAUUAAAAAACAAGCGAUCUUGUAAAAUUACCCGUUGCUUCAAAUUACUGCUACUAUAAGUCUCUGACUAGUUAAUUCAUUUGGAAGGCUUUGCAUUUGUUAUUAUAUUGAGUUCGUUGCUCUGAAUCAAAGCAAAGGAGUGGGUGGAGGUGGAGAGUUCUUUUUGUGGUUGCUUAUGAGUCAGACUGCGCCUCGAAGGUAUCUGCGUGCAUCUUAAGAUGUUUACUUAAUAGCUUUUGCUACCUUCCUCCUUGGGAUGUUGCACUCUCCUCAGUCUGGAUCUUCCAGGUGACUGGAGAAAAAGGGGAAAGGGCUUCAGGGGGGAGCAAGCCAAGUCUGGCCCGGUUCUGUACAUGUGGUCUAAGUUUAUACAUCCUUAUUCAGCAGCAGCAGUGCAGUUGCCAGUAUGCCUUGACAUAACAGUUUUUGACCAGCUCCCAAGCUCAUAGAUCAUACUUUAGUCCUUGAAUAUAAACCUUGUGCUACUCGUGGCUUGCAUGCAAAUCACAUUUAAAUUGUGUUGGUAUCUUUGUGAGUGCAUCUCUCGAUAGCCAAGAAAUACAAAUAUUCUCUUGGAAUUAUUUAGUGAGUACUUAAUGUGCCGCUUGGAGAAUCUUCAUUCAUAAUAACAUCUCUAAAAUAUUUUCACACGAGGCUGUACGUUCUGUGCUGUGCUUUGUGGAUUGUGGUCUCUUCACCAGUCUUAACUAUACACAGACAGAUCCAGUUAUUCAUGUGUCACCAAACCUCUUACGCACAAGUUGUUCUUCCAUGGAGAGAGAAAGGAGUUGUAGCCACAAGCUGAUGUGCACAUGUGAAGAGAGGGGUGUGAGAUACAAGUGAGGGCAGAUGUAAUGGAGGAUGUGGUCCUGGGCUGUAAAGGAACACGGUAAUGAGCGGCAUCCCCAGGGGUCUGUCUUGGGACUGGUGCUCUUUAACAUCUUUAUCCAUGACAGCGGUGAUGGAAUCAAGUGCACCCUCAGCAAGUUUGCUGAUGACACCAAGCUGAGUGGCGCGGUUGACACAGCUGAAGGAAGGGAUGCCAUUCAGAGGGACCUCGAGAGGCUGGAAAGCUCUUCCUGCAUCACUUGAGUACAGCAACAUAGGAUGCAGCUGUGGGAGACCUGUGCGGGCUGUGAGAAUGGAGAUGCUGUGAGAGGGAGCAAGCUAAACAUCCUGUUGGUGUUAUGACUCACUUUCUGAUUUGACUUAAAAGCUUGAUAAACAGGAGGAGAAUUGAAGUGAGCCCUGCAGGACGUGAAGAGAGGUAGGAGGAAGACGUGGUGAGGAUGGGCUGAUCAGCAAAGAACACUGCUUGUUGUCUUCGGCAGCAUCAGAUUAGUUGAGCAAGCAAGGAGAAUGAAGACAAAGUAAAACACAGAGUUGACCAGAACAGCAUGUGCUAUCGUUUGGGUUUGUUUUUUUUUUUGGUGUGGUGGUUUGUUUGGAUUUUUUGUUUAGCUUUUGAAUGCCCAAAGGCUUUGUGUUCAUCUAUGAGCUGUGUAAUUGUGCCAUCUCAUGUGAAUGGGCUCAAACUUCAGUUGUAUAAACCAGAAAUAAUUUUUUCGCAGACACUUUGACUAGUUAUUCAAAAAUAAACCUGCAGUCUCUCUCAUUCCUGGGAAAAUACAGCAGUCACGUGUCUUACUAUUUUUUUGUCAGUACACAAAAUUGAUACAAAAUCUGGAGGCAGGAAGGGAAGCCAGCAUCGUGUGGUCUCUCAAGUCUCUGCAAGCUGCUGCUGGUCCAGGAGCUGUAGUAUGAAAGCAUUUGGCAUAAUACAGCUAGUAAGAUGAAAUACAGCCUCUUCAUCUCUGAAUUCUUAAUGACCAGAGGGCUCUGGCUUGGAAAGAAGAGAAGAAGCUUUAUUAGCAUAACAAAGUAGGGACUGCUAUGGAAGAUACAUUAGUGAGCACGAUUCAUAAAGAUAAUCCAGAAAGCAGUUAUUCUGAAGGUGGGCAGGUAGGCAGUAAGGUUAGUUGUCUGGGUAACCUGCUGUUAGAGGUUUCCCACAUCUUGCUGAAAACUGAAAUAUUGCAGGUUGGACGCGCUUGAUAAGGAAAAAAAUGCACAAAGAUGAUCUUAGGGAGCUGCAGAAACUUUGCUGCUAAGUAUUGCUAAUUUAUCAUCAGAAUAUAUUUGGAGGAAAUAGAAUAUAAUACUUUAGAUGUUCUGUCACUGGGCAGAAAAAUAUUUUCAUGCCUUGCACCAACAGAUUUUUAUUCAGCUGGGUUCUGUUUUUGCUUCCACAUUAAAAUAGAAAAAAUUUUGCUUGUGAUGAGAUUGCUUGACACGGGGGCUGAAAGGAGUGAUUGCCUACACUUAAUGCACUCCUAGUCCUUUUCUUGCAGGAACCCCAGGUUUACACUGGCAAAUUCUUUCAUCCUUUCUCCCUCAGUGACCUUUUUAUGUUGCAUCUCAGGGAGAACAAUAAUUGAUCACUUUGCUGUUAUGGGGUAGCUUUCCAAAAGGCAUGAAUUCCUCCCCCACUUCCCUUUAAAUUACAUUAAAAUUCAUUUGUGUGCCCACUCAUCUCAGUUAAAAACGUGUAAAUCAGCAUUUUUGUAGAAAGGAGAAGCAGGUGGGAUUUGAUCUCAUACAAAAGCUAAGUGCCAAGAAGGCAACUGGUUUCUUAUGUUGUUAUUAUGGGCUGCCAUGGCACUGGUGUUUCAGACAGGGCGUCUGACUUCUUUUGGGAUGGGCCUGUGAAGCAGUGAUGGAUGCAGCUCUGAGUGUGCUGGUUACAACUGCUCCUUCAGUGCUGCCUUCCAAGAAGGACUACGUUAAUUCUGGGUUGUAGUAUGUGAUGCAUGUGGAGAAAGAGCCCCUCUAUUACUUUAUAAGACGUGCCCGCUUCAUGAGACCAGUGCAUUUUCCCCCAUGUGUGGAAGCAGACUUAAGUGUAACCUUUUUUUUUUUCUUUUUCUUAACCUUUUUUCUGCAUAUAAACACAGAUAAAGGGUCCUUUCAUGUUGUCUGUGACUGCCAGGUCGGUCAGUGGAUUUGUUUUGUUGGGGUUUUCUUGUUUCUAGCUGGUCUUGCACAUCUGCUGGAACAAUUAAUA
Tympanuchus pallidicinctus (lesser prairie-chicken) is the source of this 3435-nucleotide long non-coding RNA. RefSeq lists it as uncharacterized. NCBI's taxonomy places the organism in Eukaryota, Metazoa, Chordata, Aves, Galliformes, Phasianidae. The record is from RefSeq and is a predicted model, not a curated record. The transcript has 2 exons.